RNAcentral lists this ribosomal RNA (253 nucleotides) under uncultured bacterium. Its description in RNAcentral is "partial 16S ribosomal RNA". It matches the Rfam family "Bacterial small subunit ribosomal RNA", at positions 524 to 776 of the family's 1533-position model. The record is from RNAcentral.
UACGUAGGGGGCUAGCGUUGUCCGGAAUCAUUGGGCGUAAAGAGCGCGUAGGCGGCCAGAUAAGUCCGGUGUGAAAGUCACAGGCUCAACCUGUGAAUGCCGCUGGAAACUGUCUGGCUAGAGUCCGGGAGGGGCGAGUGGAAUUCCUGGUGUAGCGGUGAAAUGCGCAGAUAUCAGGAGGAACACCAAUGGCGAAGGCGGUUGCCUGGAGCUUUGCUGACGCUGAUGCGCGAAAGCGUGGGGAGCGAUCCGG